RNAcentral lists this ribosomal RNA (1504 nucleotides) under metagenome. RNAcentral's name for it is "bacterial SSU rRNA". It matches the Rfam family "Bacterial small subunit ribosomal RNA". The record is from RNAcentral.
AGAAUUUGAUCUUGGUUCAGAUUGAAUGCUGACGGCGUGGAUGAGGCAUGCAAGUCGAACGGAGCUACUUCGGUAGCUUAGUGGCGAAAGGGUUAGUAAUACAUGAAUAACUUGCCUUUAACACAGGAAUAACAACUGGAAACGGUUGCUAAUACCUGAUGAGGUUUUUCUAAGGCAUCUUGGAAAAAUCAAAGGAGGGGACCUUCGGGCCUUCCGGUUAAAGAGAGGUUCAUGCGAUAUCAGCUAGUUGGUAGGGUAAUGGCCUACCAAGGCUAGGACGUCUAGGCGGACUGAGAGGUUGACCGCCAACACUGGGACUGAGACACUGCCCAGACUCCUACGGGAGGCUGCAGUCGAGAAUUAUUCGCAAUGGGCGCAAGCCUGACGAUGCGACGCCGUGUGAACGAAGAAGGCCUUCGGGUCGUAAAGUUCUUUCGCUUGGGAAUAAGCAAUGUAGGUAAAUAAUCUACAAAGUUGAGUGUACCAGGUAAAGAAGCACCGGCUAACUCCGUGCCAGCAGCUGCGGUAAUACGGAGGGUGCAAGCAUUAAUCGGAUUUACUGGGCGUAAAGGGCGCGUAGGCGGCUGAUCAAGUCAGAUGUGAAAUUCCAGAGCUCAACUUUGGAACUGCAUCUGAAACUGGUCGACUUGAGGAUAGACGGAGAAAAUGGAAUUCCACAUGUAGCGGUGAAAUGCGUAGAUAUGUGGAGGAACACCGGUGGCGAAAGCGGUUUUCUAGUUUAUACCUGACGCUGAGGCGCGAAAGCAAGGGGAGCAAACAGGAUUAGAUACCCUGGUAGUCCUUGCCGUAAACGAUGCAUACUUGAUGUAGCUGGGCUCAACCCCAGUUGUGUCGAAGCUAACGCGAUAAGUAUGCCGCCUGAGGAGUACGCUCGCAAGGGUGAAACUCAAAAGAAUUGACGGGGACCCGCACAAGCAGUGGAGCAUGUGGUUUAAUUCGAUGCAACGCGAAGAACCUUACCCAGGUUUGACAUGCAGAGGACGAUAUGAGAAAUUAUAUUUCCCUUCGGGGCCUCUGCACAGGUGCUGCAUGGCUGUCGUCAGCUCGUGCCGUGAGGUGUUGGGUUAAGUCCCGCAACGAGCGCAACCCUUAUCGUUAGUUGCCAGCAUUUAAGGUGGGGACUCUAGCGAGACUGCCUGGGUUAACCAGGAGGAAGGUGAGGAUGACGUCAAGUCAGCAUGGCCCUUAUAUCUGGGGCUACACACGUGCUACAAUGGUCGGUACAAAAGGCAGCUAAGCCGGAAGGUGGAGCAAAUCCUAGAAAACCGAUCCCAGUUCGGAUUGUAGUCUGCAACUCGACUACAUGAAGUUGGAAUUGCUAGUAAUGGCGUGUCAGCAAUAUCGCCGUGAAUACGUUCCCGGGUCUUGUACACACCGCCCGUCACAUCAUGGAAGUUGGUUUUGCCCGAAGUCGUUGACUCAACCGCAAGGAGAGAGGCGCCGAAGGUGAGGCCGAUAACUAGGAUGAAGUCGUAACAAGGUA